ACCACCAAAAUUAACUCAAAAGUAUAGAUAAUUUAGCAUUAAAUAAAUAACAAAACUAAAUCAUUUUUCCACCUUAGUACGGGAGACGGAAAAGGUAAUUUAAGCAAUAGAGAAAGUACCGCAAGGGAAAGCUGAAAGAGUAAUGAAAUAAUUCAUUUAAGCACAAAAAAGCAGAGCUUAACCCUUGUACCUUUUGCAUCAUGAUUUAGCCAGCACUACUCAAGCAAAGUGACCUUUAGUUUGAAACCCCGAAACCAAGUGAGCUACCCCGGGACAGCCUUAAAGGGCGAACCCGUCUCUGUGGCAAAAGAGUGGGAAGAGCCCCGGGUAGAGGUGAUAGACCUACCGAACUUGGUGAUAGCUGGUUGCCUGAGAAAUGAAUAGAAGUUCAGCCUCGUAUCCCUUUAGCCAACCAAGAAAUAUCUGAAUAAGCACAAAAGAGAAAUACGAGAGUUAGUUGAAGGGGGUACAGCCCCUUUAAUAAAGGACACAACCUUAAAUAGGUGGAUAAGAGUCACACUUUAUAAAACUAGUUGUUCCAGUGGGCCUAAAAGCAGCCAUCUGAGUAGAAAGCGUUAAAGCUCAAACAACAUGCAGUUUAUUAUACUGAUAAAUAACCCAACUCCCCUAAAAAUAUCAGGCCACUCCAUGCCACCAUGGAAGAGACCAUGCUAAAAUGAGUAAUAGGAGGAUAUGAUCCUCUCCUAGCACAAGUGUAAGCCAGAUCGGACAAACCACUGGAAAUUAACGAGCCCAGAAAAAGAGGGUAAUGUGGCCAACAAAAAAAUCAGGAAAAUACCACAGCAUUUAUAUCGUUAAACCCACACUGGAGUGCCUCCAAGGAAAGACUAAAAGAAAGGGAAGGAACUCGGCAAACACAAGCCUCGCCUGUUUACCAAAAACAUCGCCUCCUGCAAAUCCUUAUGUAUAGGAGGUCCAGCCUGCCCGGUGACUACAAGUUUAACGGCCGCGGUAUUUUGACCGUGCAAAGGUAGCGCAAUCACUUGUCUUUUAAAUGAAGACCUGUAUGAAUGGCUAAACGAGGGCUUAGCUGUCUCCCUUUUCAAGUCAGUGAAAUUGAUCUACCCGUGCAG
Molecule: ribosomal RNA, 1094 nt
Filed under: Triplophysa robusta
Lineage: Eukaryota; Metazoa; Chordata; Actinopteri; Cypriniformes; Nemacheilidae
Description: partial large subunit ribosomal RNA
Rfam family: Bacterial large subunit ribosomal RNA
Source: RNAcentral